AUUGAACGCUGGCGGCAGGCUUAACACAUGCAAGUCGAACGCCCCGCAAGGGGAGUGGCAGACGGGUGAGUAACGCGUGGGAAUCUACCUAGUUCUACGGAACAACAGAGGGAAACUUCUGCUAAUACCGUAUACGCCCUAAGGGGGAAAGAUUUAUCGGAAUUAGAUGAGCCCGCGUAAGAUUAGCUAGUUGGUGGGGU
This 200-nucleotide ribosomal RNA is filed under the name uncultured bacterium. RNAcentral's name for it is "partial 16S ribosomal RNA". It matches the Rfam family "Bacterial small subunit ribosomal RNA", at positions 30 to 258 of the family's 1533-position model. The record is from RNAcentral.